UUGAACGCUGGCGGCAGGCCUAACACAUGCAAGUCGAGCGGAUGAAGGGAGCUUGCUCCUGGAUUCAGCGGCGGACGGGUGAGUAAUGCCUAGGAAUCUGCCUGGUAGUGGGGGAUAACGUCCGGAAACGGGCGCUAAUACCGCAUACGUCCUGAGGGAGAAAGUGGGGGAUCUUCGGACCUCACGCUAUCAGAUGAGCCUAGGUCGGAUUAGCUAGUUGGUGGGGUAAAGGCCUACCAAGGCGACGAUCCGUAACUGGUCUGAGAGGAUGAUCAGUCACACUGGAACUUAGACACGGUCCAGACUCCUACGGGAGGCAGCAGUGGGGAAUAUUGGACAAUGGGCGAAAGCCUGAUCCAGCCAUGCCGCGUGUGUGAAGAAGGUCUUCGGAUUGUAAAGCACUUUAAGUUGGGAGGAAGGGCAGUAAGUUAAUACCUUGCUGUUUUGACGUUACCAACAGAAUAAGCACCGGCUAACUUCGUG
RNAcentral lists this ribosomal RNA (483 nucleotides) under uncultured bacterium. RNAcentral's name for it is "partial 16S ribosomal RNA". It matches the Rfam family "Bacterial small subunit ribosomal RNA", at positions 30 to 507 of the family's 1533-position model. The record is from RNAcentral.